Wyeomyia smithii (pitcher-plant mosquito) is the source of this 207-nucleotide small nucleolar RNA. RefSeq annotates it as small nucleolar RNA U3. The record is from RefSeq and is a predicted model, not a curated record. The transcript has a single exon. NCBI's taxonomy places the organism in Eukaryota, Metazoa, Arthropoda, Insecta, Diptera, Culicidae.
AAGACUGUGCUUCACAGGAUCAUUUCUGUAGGCUAGUUUUCACUACAAGUUUUUUCCAACAGGAAAAGAUUUCCCACCCGCGAUGAUGAGAUGCAGUGUCCAAGCCGGAGCGUGAAACUUGGUAGAGCUAUGGUUUAUCUAUCAGGAUAGAUCUCUCUGCUACUGAAGAUCGGCUCGUUCGCAAGGUUUGGACGCAAUCUGAGUGGU